ACGAACGCUGGCGGCGUGCUUAACACAUGCAAGUCGAACGGAAAGGCCCUGCUUUUGUGGGGUGCUCGAGUGGCGAACGGGUGAGUAACACGUGAGUAACCUGCCCUUGACUUUGGGAUAACUUCAUGAAACUGGGGCUAAUACCGGCUAGGAGCUCCUGCUGCAUGGUGGGGGUUGGAAAGUUUCGGCUGUUGGGGAUGGACUCGCGGCUUAUCAGCUUGUUGGUGGGGUAGUGGCUUACCAAGGCGUUGACGGGUAGCCGGCCUGAGAGGGUGACCGGCCACAGUGGGACUGAGAUACGGCCCAGACUCCUACGGGAGGAAGCAGUGGGGAAUAUUGCACAAUGGGCGGAAGCCUGAUGCAGCAACGCCGCGUGCGGGAUGACGGCCUUCGGGUUGUAAACCGCUUUCGCCUGUGACGAAGAGUGAGUGACGGUAAUGGGUAAAGAAGCACCGGCUAACUACGUG
RNAcentral lists this ribosomal RNA (467 nucleotides) under uncultured bacterium. RNAcentral's name for it is "partial 16S ribosomal RNA". It matches the Rfam family "Bacterial small subunit ribosomal RNA", at positions 29 to 507 of the family's 1533-position model. The record is from RNAcentral.